UCCCUGGUGGCUCAGAUGGUAAAGCGUCUGCCUACAAUGUGGGAGACCUAGGUUCAAUCCCUGGGUUGGGAA
Molecule: transfer RNA, 72 nt
Filed under: Ovis aries (sheep)
Lineage: Eukaryota; Metazoa; Chordata; Mammalia; Artiodactyla; Bovidae
Rfam family: tRNA
About the family: Transfer RNA (tRNA) molecules are approximately 80 nucleotides in length. Their secondary structure includes four short double-helical elements and three loops (D, anti-codon, and T loops).
Source: Rfam by way of RNAcentral